GCUUGUCUCAAAGAUUAAGCCAUGCAUGUCUCAGUAUAAGUUCCUGUACGGCGAAACUGCGAAUGGCUCAUUAAAACAGUUACAGUUUAUUUGAUGGUCUUUGCUACUUGGAUAACCGUAGUAAUUCUAGAGCUAAUACAUGCAUCAAUCCUCUAUUUGAGGUGUAUUUAUUAGAUUGUAACCAAAGCGGGGUAACCCGGUAUAUGGUGAUUCAUAAUAACUUUCGGAUCGAUUUUAAUCGAUGCAUCAUUCAAGUUUCUGCCCUAUCAGCUUUGGAUGGUAGGGUAUUGGCCUACCAUGGCUUUAACGGGUAACGGAGAAUUAGGGUUCGAUUCCGGAGAGGGAGCCUGAGAAAUGGCUACCACAUCCAAGGAAGGCAGCAGG
Molecule: ribosomal RNA, 384 nt
Filed under: uncultured Chrysophyceae
Lineage: Eukaryota; Chrysophyceae
Description: partial small subunit ribosomal RNA
Rfam family: Eukaryotic small subunit ribosomal RNA
Source: RNAcentral